AUCCCUUCUCAGCUUUUUGGAUAAGAUCAAAUGUAGUAUCUGUUCUUGUCAGUUUAACAUCUGAAGACAAUAUAUUAAAUGGAUUUUUGGAAUCAGGAAAUGGAGUAGGGGCUUGUUCCGUCCACUCCACCCAUCAACCUGGUUUUGCAGUAUUUCCAGGAAUGGGGCACCUCUC
RNAcentral lists this small nuclear RNA (175 nucleotides) under Erinaceus europaeus (western European hedgehog). RNAcentral's name for it is "U2 spliceosomal RNA". It matches the Rfam family "U2 spliceosomal RNA". Rfam says of the family: U2 is a small nuclear RNA (snRNA) component of the spliceosome (involved in pre-mRNA splicing). The record is from Rfam by way of RNAcentral. Lineage: Eukaryota; Metazoa; Chordata; Mammalia; Eulipotyphla; Erinaceidae.